Molecule: ribosomal RNA, 429 nt
Filed under: bacterium
Lineage: Bacteria
Description: partial 16S ribosomal RNA
Rfam family: Bacterial small subunit ribosomal RNA
Source: RNAcentral
UGGGGAAUCUUCCGCAAUGGACGAAAGUCUGACGGAGCAACGCCGCGUGAGUGAUGACGGCCUUCGGGUUGUAAAGCUCUUUUAAUCGGGACGAAUGGUUCUUGUGCGAAUAGUGCAAGGAUUUGACGGUACCGGAAUAGAAAGCCACGGCUAACUACGUGCGAGCAGCCGCGGUAAUACGUAGGUGGCAAGCGUUGUCCGGAAUUAUUGGGCGUAAAGCGCGCGCAGGCGGCUUGGUCAGUUUGUCUUAAAAGUUCGGGGCUUAACCCCGUGAUGGGAUGGAAACUGCCAAUCUAGAGUAUCGGAGAGGAAAGGGGAAUACCUAGUGUAGCGGUGAAAUGCGUAGAUAUUAGGAGGAACACCAGUGGCGAAGGCGACUUUCUGGACGAAAACUGACGCUGAGGCGCGAGAGCCAGGGGAGCGAACGGG